CCUACGGGAGGCAGCAGUGAGGAACAUUGGUCAAUGGACGAGAGUCUGAACCAGCCAAGUAGCGUGGAGGAUGACUGCCCUAUGGGUUGUAAACUUCUUUUAUAAAGGAAUAAAACGAGGCACGUGUGCCUUUUUGCACGUACUUUAUGAAUAAGGAUCGGCUAACUCCGUGCCAGCAGCCGCGGUAAUACGGAGGAUCCGAGCGUUAUCCGGAUUUAUUGGGUUUAAAGGGAGCGUAGAUGGGUUGUUAAGUCAGUUGUGAAAGUUUGCGGCUCAACCGUAAAAUUGCAAUUGAUACUGGAAGUCUUGAGUACAGUUGAGGUAGGCGGAAUUCGUAGUGUAGCGGUGAAAUGCUUAGAUAUCACGAAGAACCCCGGUUGCGAAGGCAGCUUACUAAACUGUGACUGACAUUGAUGCUCGAAAGUGUGGGUAUCAAACAGGAUUAGAUACCCGUGUAGUC
Molecule: ribosomal RNA, 460 nt
Filed under: uncultured bacterium
Lineage: Bacteria
Description: partial 16S ribosomal RNA
Rfam family: Bacterial small subunit ribosomal RNA
Source: RNAcentral